Molecule: ribosomal RNA, 254 nt
Filed under: uncultured bacterium
Lineage: Bacteria
Description: partial 16S ribosomal RNA
Rfam family: Bacterial small subunit ribosomal RNA
Source: RNAcentral
UACGAAGGGGACUAGCGUUGUUCGGAUUUACUGGGCGUAAAGGGCGCGUAGGCGGCGUGGUAAGUCAAUUGUGAAAUCUCCGAGCUUAACUCGGAACGGUCAAUUGAUACUGCUGUGCUAGAGUACAGAAGGGGCAAUCGGAAUUCCUGGUGUAGCGGUGGAAUGCGCAGAUAUCAGGAGGAACACCGGUGGCGAAGGCGGGUCUCUGGGCAGUAACUGACGCUGGAGGAGCGAAAGCGUGGGGAGCGAACAGG